AGUGAACGCUGGCGGUAGGCCUAACACAUGCAAGUCGAACGGCAGCACAGUAAGAGCUUGCUCUUACGGGUGGCGAGUGGCGGACGGGUGAGGAAUACAUCGGAAUCUACUUUUUCGUGGGGGAUAACGUAGGGAAACUUACGCAAAUACCGCAUACGACCUACGGGUGAAAGCAGGGGAUCUUCGGACCUUGCGCGAUUGAAUGAGCCGAUGUCGGAUUAGCUAGUUGGCGGGGUAAAGGCCCACCAAGGCGACGAUCCGUAGCUGGUCUGAGAGGAUGAUCAGCCACACUGGAACUGAGACACGGUCCAGACUCCUACGGGAGGCAGCAGUGGGGAAUAAUGGACAAUGGGCGCAAGCCUGAUCCAGCCAUACCGCGUGGGUGAAGAAGGCCUUCGGGUUGUAAAGCCCUUUUGUUGGGAAAGAAAAGCAGCAGGUUAAUACCCCGCUGUUCUGACGGUACCCAAAGAAUAAGCACCGGCUAACUUCGUG
Molecule: ribosomal RNA, 492 nt
Filed under: uncultured bacterium
Lineage: Bacteria
Description: partial 16S ribosomal RNA
Rfam family: Bacterial small subunit ribosomal RNA
Source: RNAcentral